UCUCCGUAAAACCUGUAUACUUUCCCAGAAAUGUAAAAUAUAAAUAUACAUAUAUAUUCUCAAAACUUCAUUUUUACUAUCUCAACAUUAUCUCUUUAUCAAUCAUGCCAUGCCAUGUCAUCUCAACAUUUCUCAUAUUAAUUAUGCCAUGCCACAUCAUCUCAACAGUAAUAAGGUAUGAAUGCAUCAACAUAAUCAUAUCAGGUGCAAGAAAGUAAUCAACCGUAGGCCCUCUAAUAGCCCUAUACGGUUGAACCUAGAGCUCAAAAUCUAUCAUUAUCACUCUACCGGAGUCACCUCUGUGACCCGUCCGGCCUUCUGCACACAAGUUACGCUCUAGUGCUUCUCAUAAAUCAUUUGUGCACAUAAUCUAAGGUCACCCACCAGUCGGAAUCUCACUAACACUCUCGCGACUGGUCUGUCGUACCCACUCCGCGUGGACUGUACGACUAGCAUCUACUUGGAUCCAAGGCGAGCGUGCGAUGCGGUGAAUACUAUAAGCACUAAACCAUGGUGCAGGAUUUGAGCUCAAUAUAUAUCAUCAUCAUCAUAACAGUAAUUAAAUACUCACCUGUGCGUCCACCGCACCAUUUCAUACAUAUGCAUCAUAAAUCAAUUCUUACCUGUGCGUCCACCGCACCAAUUCAUACAUAUGCAUCAUAUAUUAAUUCAUGCAUGGCAUUUCAACUCACAUUUCUAUAUACUUUUCAUAUCAAUUCUAUGCAUGGUAUUUCACUUCCCGUUUUUCCACAUAACUCAUAUGCAUUUCAUUUUAAACAUAAUUCAUGCAUUUUCAAUUUCUGGGAAAACGUUAAGUAUAUAUAUAUAUACGGAAAACAAAACUGCCCACUCACCUGGAGUUCGUCCAACAACUCCCUAGCACCACACAUCAAGGCGUCACGACGAUCGCCGCCUAGAAUAGUAAUCAAAUCCAACCUCAGAAUUCAUAUCGAUAGAAUAUAUAACUUAUAUAAAAUACGUCACUAUGUAGUUCGAUCCGGAAGAUCUGCCACUCAGAUUUUAAAUCCAUAACUUCCAGAGGUCCACAAUAUAUCUCUAGGAUAACAUCCUAAAAUUUCAUUACCAUCCAACGGUCGGAUCUCCGUCAAUUUCCAAAACUAAGUGACGGUUAACAUUUUAUAUUAUGGACUUACAAUUCCAAUUCCGGAAGAUCCGUAACUCGAAUUCCCAAUCCGUAAGUUCCAAUAAUCCUCAAAUAUUACGUAUUACAACGUAUCAAAGUUUGGUGACGAUCCAACGGUCGGAUCAUCAAUUCACAUUUUCACCUAAAUGUGAAAACUAUAAAACGUUAUUUGAACACCUAACCAACAAUCCUCAAUAACUUUCUCAUACGGUGUUCAAUUUAGGUAUAUAAAUAUACCACAAUGAUCUACUCGACGUCACGGACGUCGACAUAUUUUUAAAAUAAUUUUAUUUUUAUUUUUUUAUUUUUACUGUAGCACCUUCUUCUUCCUUGGGUCGCCGGACUGGUUUUUCCGGCGGCCGUUUUCCGGGCAGUUUUUCAAAUUGCCAUAACUUUGUCAUUUCUCAACGAAAUCAAGUGAUUCAAAAACGAAAGUUGUAGCCCUUGAAGAGACAAAGAGAAUGGUACCUUUCACAACACCUAGUUCGCCGUGGUUUGGCCGGAAACUGCCUCGAAAGCCUCGGAGGUCGCCGGAAACUGGGUAUUUUUCAAAUGAGUAUAACUUCUUCAAUACUCAACGAAAUUGAGUGAAACAAAAAGGAAAGUUGUAGUACUUGACGAGACGAAGAGAUUGAUACCUACCUCGACUCCUAACUCGCCGGGUAUUCUCCGGAAAACACCUCGAAAGCUCCGGCCAAACUUUGAACUUGUCGAUCUCCGUGUUCUUACGUCCAAAAACUUCCAACGAAGCACUCCGAGCUUCCUUGGGACCUCACUAAGCUUGCUAUGAUCUUAUUUUGGCCUAAAACACAACCACUUCAAAGAUCAUGAAUAGUACACAUUCACGGGGUCUUUAGAACUAGGGUUUUUCGAAAUGAAACUUACCUGAAAAUGGUACCUACGUGAUCGUGAAGUCCUCAGGGUUGCAAUGGUAGUCUUAACUUGGACGUUGGUAUAGGUUUUAGGUGGUUUUGGUGGUUUUGGUGGUUGCCCGUGCGUUCGAGAAGAAGAGAGAGAAUGAGAGUUUCUGAGGAAGAGCUGAGGAAGAGAGAGAGUAUGAAGGACAGUAUACGGGAAAUGGGGAGGGUUUUGAGGUGUGGGGAUCCCACAUGUCCAAACCAAUCCCAAUUUCAUAAAAUUCCAUCAUAAAAUUUAAGUCUAAGUCUCCACUCCAAUUACCAAAUUUUUUUGGAGCUUAGAUAUAACGAACGUGAAAAUUAUACCUUAGUCACAUAUUAGGGACAUUUCCGUAAUUUCAUGUCCUCGGAAUUAAAAAUUCCGGCACGGGCUGUGACAAUCUCCCCUCCUUAUAGAAUUUCGUCCCCGAAAUUCCAGCAACCAACCAAAUCAUCUAUACUCAUACAAUAGCCUCGGAUAAAUCUCUCUCAUCCGAUUCUCUUUCUCCCACACAAUUUUCUACUGAAUGAUUUCCUUCACAAAGCUUUUACUACUUACUCUGUCUUAAUUCUUAGGACCUUCUUUUUCCAAUUCAAAGUCGACAUUAGUUCCUCACCAAUCAGAUCCGGCUUAAUUCUCAAUAGUUGCACCAAAGUCCCAUGUAACGACUCUGCCACUUAGUGACAACGCAUCGAACACAAAAUACAUUAUGUGCCUUAGCCAAUUCUGAAGGCAUCACAAACUUGUAUGCAACUUUAUUGAUUCCUUUAGUAAAAAAAAAAAUGGUCUGAUGUGUCUAAAUCUUAUCUUGUCUCUUUUCCAAUUUUUCAUUCUCGUCAUUUCUGUUCGCGGUGAAUUUUCCAAAAAUAUCAAACCAUUUACCUUACACACUCGAUUAGUGGCAUAUCCAUCUGUUGAUCUCUUUUGCCAUUCCUGGUUACUUCAGGUUAACUUAAUCACCUGAAUACUUUGAGGAAACUCAUCCAUAGUCUCAGGGUCUACUAAAACUCUUUCUUGAUCGAAUCCUUCUCUACCCAGAAACAUUCCAUUCACAAAGUCAUCAAAAACCGACUCACAUGACACAUUUCAUGAUCCUUAUGGCGUUACUUCGGAAACUGCACAACCAACAUACUUAAGAAACUCAGCAGUUCCGUAAACCAAUUCUCUUUUCCAUAAAACAAAUAAGUAAUGUUGCACUGUCUGGGAAAGGUUGUUACUCAACACUGGAGUAAAUGUACUAACUUGUUACUUAACAAGUAAUAACUUCUUCUCGAUCUUCCAUUCUUAAUUUUUCUUCCGUUGGUUUUCAAUCCACAAGAUGAUACUCUUGGCAAACGUGCCAGACAUUAAUCUUACUGUAGUCUUCUCACCAAGUGCUUGAGCUAGAACAAACUUUACGAUCACCCUGAUCGUACAAUCAUGUUCAUUAAGCAAUUCAAUCCACCUUUGUUGCCUCAUAUUGAAAUCCUUCCGAGUAAACAAAUAUUGGAGACUCUUUUGAUUUGUAAAAUCUUGCAUUCUUAUCAACAUAGAAUGUCUCCAUAACUUCACAGCAAGAAUGGUAAUCAUGACUUCCAAGUCACCCGUAGGGUAAUUCAUCUUAUGAGAUUCCAUUUAUCGUGAAACGUAUGCAAUCACCCUAACAUUUGCAUCAACAUGCAUCCAAUACCAUUCAAGAAACAUCACUAAAAAUUUAUGAUUACCACUAUUCUCUGGGAAUACCAAAAUACGUGCAUGAGUGAGGAAAUACUUCAGUUGUUGAAUCCUUUGCUCACAAUUUCCUUCCCACUCAUACAUAACCUCUUUUCUCAACAGUCUCGUCAAUGACAAAGCAAUGACUGAAAAAUCUUUCACAACCAUCCAAGAUAGCCUGGUAAGCUAAGAAAUUCCGAAUCUCAAUUACAGUUCGUGGUUGUUCCAAUUCCUCAAUUUCUGCUAUCUUUUAAGGAUUCACUUGAAUACCUUAAGAAUAUAUAACAAAUCUCAGAAUGCCACCUGAUUCAUCUAACUUUAGCAUUUGCUACUUAGCAUACAACCGACAUUCUUCCAAUCUUUAUUCCACCGACUUAAUACGUUUACAUGCUCUGCUCUGGCUCAGAAUAUGCCAGAAUAUCUUCAAUGAAAAUGAUAUCUAUUUAUCAAGGCAUUAUUGGAAUACUUCAUCCAAUAACUCAUAAAACAGCAUGAGUAUCCAUAUAGCAUCACCAUAGUUCAUAAAACAAUCUUAAGAACAACGUCGCUCAUAAUCUUUAAAUUGGUAAUAACCAGACCUCAAUUCAAUCUUUGAAUCUUCGCAAUUACUUCUGAGCUGGUUAAAUAAACAUCAGUACAUCACCAUGGAUAACGGUUCUCAAUCGUUACCCGACUCCAUUGUCUAUAAUCAAUGAACAGUCUCAAGAUCCAUUUUCUUCCUCACCAACAAACUGGGGCUCCUCAAAAGUGUUGUACUAGGUUGAAUGAAACUUUUAUCAACCAAUUCUUUCAACUGAAUUUCCAAUUCCCUUAACUCAUCCUGAACCAAUCUCCAAUAUAAAUUUAUACCUGGCAACAAAUCAAUAAUGAACCUCAUAUCUCUGCCUGAAGGCAAUCCAGGUAUACUUUCAAGGAAGACAUCAAGAAAAGUCUAACUCUUUCGACAUUAUUCACACUACUCCAAACAACAUCAUUUAGCACCACAUGAGCUAAGUAUUUUUGACAGUCUUUCGAAAACAAUCUCUUUGCUCUCACAGCAUAAAUAACGGCCUGACUCAAUCCAUUUUGCAUACUUACAAAAGUAAUCUCUGUUCAUCCAGAUCGAUGGAAAGUACUGGUUUCCCAUAACAUUUCGUCUUGUCACAAUUAUAACCAACCAAUCUAAUGGAACAGAAUUAACUGAUACAAUAUAUAUUUUAUUAUUAUUAAGCAUUCCAAAUAAGUACAAUACUAACAUAAAAUAAUCUACCGGGUUGCUUGCUUAACGAAUCCACGAAUGAGUUAUUAAUAUUACGGUCUGCAGCCCGCAAUACUGAUAAAUCAUCGUUGUCUCGAUAAGUAGGCAACCACUCUCAAAGAUAUAACAUUACUAUUUUGUCACUCAAUGCAAAAUACAUACACUCUCAUCUCAACUACAUUUAUUUACUACUCUCAAGGUAAUAACAUACAUAAUAAGAAAUAUAUCAGCCGAAGUCAACUAGAAUGACCAAUACGGCUGAUUCAACUCUUAUCUCAAUAAUACGUCGGCCGGAUCCACUCCGCGUGGUCGGUACGGCCGAGCCUAUAACUCACAAAUUUCGCAUGUGUCAAUCGAAUCCACUUCUCGUGGCCUGUACGGCUGAACAUAUAACUCAUCAAAUCUCUCUGUACUCACGGUCAAUCCGACCAAACUACUAAGUCCAUAACUCUGCUGAAUCGACACUAUGAUAUCAUGGAAAAUUAUUGAGUACAACUGAUUCUAGGGACGAUUCACAAUUCUGUGUCCCCUCUGUUCACAUAAACACAUUCAUUAAUUUCACAUUUCCCAAAGUGUUAAUUUUGUACCUGCUGCACAAGGUACAUUUCUUUUACUCGAGACACCUUGUCUCAAAUAUCUGGGAUUACCAGUAUAUCCAUCACUUUUACUCUGACCAACGACACUAAAACCUCAGCUGGAAGAAUUAACUCUAGCUUCACUUCUUUCGAAGCUCUGAAUCCUUCGAUAUUCUUGAUAUGACGAAUCAUUAACUUUAUCGUCUUCUUUUAAUUCCCAUUCUUUUCUUAUUCCUCUUCACUCUAGCUGAUCAUAUUCUCAGAGUCCUCAAGACUCAACAGCAUCUCGUAUAUUCUUGGUAAGAAGUACAAUGGAUAGUGGUCACCCAAAAUACCACUUCCCUUUUUUGCCACCCAGCUUAAAACAACAUAACACCUCCACCAAAUUAACAACAAUAUCUGGAUGGAACGAGGCAAGUCUGAAAACUUUCUAUAAUAUCCCUCGAUCAUCACCUUCCUUGUCUCAUAUUUGUAAACUCUUGUUUACUACCAUCGAUAAAUGCCGGAGGGAUAAACUUUUCCUUUAAACAAGUCCUUAAACAAUUCUCAAUCGACUGAUUCCUCUGGUGACAACAAUUCAUACUCCUGUUUCCACCAGGAUACAAAUUCAUAACCAAAACCAGGUAGUCGUCUCGACCCCUUGUCAGAAGGAAGAUUCCUUUGACUUGCAUAUUCCGAAACAUCUUUUCCAAUUGGUUAAUCCGUCACUUUGUUCCCUCAGGUUCAUCAUUUCUCUUAAGUGAUUCAAAUUCAACUCAUAACCCGUCUUAAAAUGUCCAUUUUUCUAAUAUACUGAAUCACCAUAAGAAUAGUUUCCCCUAACCCGCUAAAUCAGGGAGACUAAGUUCCUCUAACUACGUGGUUUGCUACGAGGCGGUGUAGUUCUGACAGAAUUCACUAGAACUUCUCAAAAUGUCCAAGAUUGCAACCAUGCUCUGAUACCAACUGACACACCCCGUCCCGAAGGAGGGCAUGCUGGCCGUCACGUGAGAGUGACGUAACCAUUUGCACAGUACGGAAGCUUUAAUUAUACAAUUUAUAAGUUGAUACACCCGAAGGUGAGUCCUAAUUUUGUCCAAUCUGUCAGAACCCCGCUGUAUUCCUCGUAGUCACCACACCUUUGUGAUUCCUGAACCUGGAGGGGCGCAAAACCAAAAUUGAGUGGGUCAGUAAAACAAUUCUUUUCCAAAUCCAAACAUUUCUCAAAACGUUGUAACCCCUCUCUCCGUAAAACCUGUAUACUUUCCCAGAAAUGUAAAAUAUAAAUAUACAUAUAUAUUCUCAAAACUUCAUUUUUACUAUCUCAACAUUAUCUCUUUAUCAAUCAUGCCAUGCCAUGUCAUCUCAACAUUUCUCAUAUUAAUUAUGCCAUGCCACAUCAUCUCAACAGUAAUAAGGUAUGAAUGCAUCAACAUAAUCAUAUCAGGUGCAAGAAAGUAAUCAACCGUAGGCCUUCUAAUAGCCCUAUACGGUUGAACCUAGAGCUCAAAAUCUAUCAUUAUCACUCUACCGGAGUCACCUCUGUGACCCGUCCGGCCUUCUGCACACAAGUUACGCUCUAGUGCUUCUCAUAAAUCAUCUGUGCACAUAAUCUAAGGUCACCCACCAGUCGGAAUCUCACUAACACUCUCGCGACUGGUCUGUCGUACCCACUCCGCGUGGACUGUACGACUAGCAUCUACUUGGAUCCAAGGCGAGCGUGCGAUGCGGUGAAUACUAUAAGCACUAAACCAUGGUGCAGGAUUUGAGCUCAAUAUAUAUCAUCAUCAUCAUAACAGUAAUUAAAUACUCACCUGUGCGUCCACCGCACCAUUUCAUACAUAUGCAUCAUAAAUCAAUUCUUACCUGUGCGUCCACCGCACCAAUUCAUACAUAUGCAUCAUAUAUUAAUUCAUGCAUGGCAUUUCAACUCACAUUUCUAUAUACUUUUCAUAUCAAUUCUAUGCAUGGUAUUUCACUUCCCGUUUUUCCACAUAACUCAUAUGCAUUUCAUUUUAAACAUAAUUUCAUGCAUUUUCAAUUUCUGGGAAAACGUUAAGUAUAUAUAUAUAUAUACGGAAAACAAAACUGCCCACUCACCUGGAGUUCGUCCAACAACUCCCUAGCACCACACAUCAAGGCGUCACGACGAUCGCCGCCUAGAAUAGUAAUCAAAUCCAACCUCAGAAUUCAUAUCGAUAGAAUAUAUAACUUAUAUAAAAUACGUCACUAUGUAGUUCGAUCCGGAAGAUCUGCCACUCAG
Molecule: long non-coding RNA, 7787 nt
Filed under: Malus domestica (apple)
Lineage: Eukaryota; Viridiplantae; Streptophyta; Magnoliopsida; Rosales; Rosaceae
Description: long non-coding RNA (MDOM_LNC006787)
Source: RNAcentral